Molecule: non-coding RNA, 299 nt
Organism: Pogona vitticeps (central bearded dragon)
Lineage: Eukaryota; Metazoa; Chordata; Lepidosauria; Squamata; Agamidae
Source: RefSeq, a predicted model, not a curated record
AACUAAUUCACCAAAUCUUUCAGCAUCACGUUCACGGCGUGAGAAGAAAUCUCAGAAAGGAAGACAAGAAGCACUGGAACGUUUGAAAAAAGCAAAAGCUGGGGAGAAAAUAAAAUAUGAAGUGGAGAAGGUUGCAAGUGUUUAUGAUGAAAUUGAUGAAGAACAAUAUUCUAAGAUUGUCAGAGAACGACAGGAUGAUGACUGGAUUGUGGAUGAUGAUGGAGUUGGUUACGUAGAAGAUGGGAGGGAGAUUUUUGAUGAAGACUUAGAAGAUGAUGCUCUUGAUUCUAACAAAAGUG